AUGGGCUAGGGGUCCUCACCGGAUUACCAAACCUAAGCAAACUCUGAAUACCCAGGAGUACUAGUCGGCAGACACACGGCGGGUGCUAACGUCCGUCGUGAAAAGGGAAACAACCCUGACCAACAGCUAAGGUCCCCAAGUUAUGGCUAAGUGGGAAAGGAUGUGAGGAUCCCAAAACAACCAGGAUGUUGGCUUAGAAGCAGCCAUCAUUUAAAGAAAGCGUAACAGCUCACUGGUCUAAAUAAGGGUCUUUGCGCCUAAAAUGUAACGGGGCUAAAGCCAUACACCGAAGCUUUGGGUGCAUAGCAAUAUGCGCGGUAGCGGAGCGUUCUGUAGGCCUGUGAAGGGAGACCCGUGAGGGCUCCUGGAGGUAUCAGAAGUGCGAAUGCUGACAUGAGUAACGUAAGGAGUGUGAGAGACACUCCCGCCGAAAGACCAAGGGUUCCUGCUUAAAGUUAAUCUGAGCAGGGUUAGCCGGACCCUAAGGCGAGGCCGAAAGGCGUAGUCGAUGGGAAUCACGUUAAUAUUCGUGAGCCUGCAGGUAGUGACGGAUCAUCAAGGUAGUUCAUUCUUAUUGGAUUGAAUGGGCUGCUGCGUGGUUCCAGGAAAUAGCUCCUGCUUAUAGUCCGUACCCGAAACCGACACUGGUGGUCUGGUAGAGUAUACCAAGGCGCUUGAGAGAACUAUGCUGAAGGAACUCGGCAAAUUGCACGCGUAACUUCGGAAGAAGCGUGACCCCUUAGUACGCAAGUAUUGGGGGGUGGCACAGACCAGGGGGUAGCGACUGUUUAUCAAAAACACAGGGCUCUGCGAAGCCGCAAGGCGACGUAUAGGGUCUGACGCCUGCCCGGUGCUGGAAGGUUAAGAGGAGAGGUGCAAGCUUUGAAUCGAAGCCCC
This 897-nucleotide ribosomal RNA is filed under the name Salmonella enterica subsp. enterica serovar Enteritidis. RNAcentral describes it as "partial 23S ribosomal RNA". It matches the Rfam family "Bacterial large subunit ribosomal RNA", at positions 914 to 1921 of the family's 2925-position model. Lineage: Bacteria; Pseudomonadati; Pseudomonadota; Gammaproteobacteria; Enterobacterales; Enterobacteriaceae. The record is from RNAcentral.